This 421-nucleotide ribosomal RNA is filed under the name uncultured bacterium. RNAcentral's name for it is "partial 16S ribosomal RNA". It matches the Rfam family "Bacterial small subunit ribosomal RNA", at positions 361 to 774 of the family's 1533-position model. The record is from RNAcentral.
AUUUUGGACAAUGGGGGAAACCCUGAUCCAGCCAUGCCGCGUGUAUGAUGAAGGCNUUNNGGUUGNANAGUACUUUUGGCAGANNNNNAAAGGUAUCUCNUAAUACGAUAUACUGCUGACGGUAUCUGCAGAAUAAGCACGGGCUAACUACGUGCCGUCAGCCGCGGUAAUACGUAGGGUGCAAUCGUUAAACGGAAUUACUGGGCGUAAAUCAUGUGGAGGAGGGUCGGAAAGAAAGAGUGGAAAAACCAGGGCGCAACCUUGGAACAGGAUUUUUAACAGCCGAGCUAGAGUAUGUCAGAGGGGGGUAGAAUUCCACGGGUAGAAGUGAAAUGCGUAGAUAUGUGGAGGAAUACCGAUGGCGAAGGCAGCCCCCUGGGAUAAUACUGACGCUCAGACACGAAAGCGUGGGGAGCAAACA